This 80-nucleotide small RNA is filed under the name Flavobacterium sp. A45. RNAcentral's name for it is "Flavo-1 RNA". It matches the Rfam family "Flavo-1 RNA". Lineage: Bacteria; Pseudomonadati; Bacteroidota; Flavobacteriia; Flavobacteriales; Flavobacteriaceae. The record is from Rfam by way of RNAcentral.
AUUUAGCCCCGAUUGAAGUGGAAAUCCUUUUUCUUUUUUCUUUAAAAAGGAAAAGAUUGCAACGUAAAGCGGGAGUUAUC